UCCGGUUUGACACCGGCAGUCUCGCUAGAGUACUGGCUUGCGCCGAGCAACUAACGACAGGGGUUGCGCUCGUUAAGGGACUUAACCCGACACUUCACAGCACGAGCUGACGACAGCCAUGCAGCACCUGUGACCGUUGUACCCUUGCGGGCCUAACCCUACUUUCAUAGGGAUAAUCCGGCCAUGUCAAGCCCAGGUAAGGUUCUUCGCGUUGCCUCGAAUUAAGCAACAUGCUCCACCGCUUGUGUGAGCCCCCGUCAAUUCAUUUGAGUUUUAGCCUUGCGACCGUACUCCCCAGGCGGUACACUUAUCGCUUUCGCAUCGGCCGAUACGGCGUCAAAACCGCACCGAUCUAGUGUACAUUGUUUACGGCGUGGACUAC
RNAcentral lists this unclassified non-coding RNA (382 nucleotides) under uncultured Phycisphaeraceae bacterium. Its description in RNAcentral is "contains 16S-23S intergenic spacer region". Lineage: Bacteria; Pseudomonadati; Planctomycetota; Phycisphaerae; Phycisphaerales; Phycisphaeraceae. The record is from RNAcentral.